UUAAGCUUCUCAUCUCUUUCCACAUCUGCAGCAAUUACAACUAAGCCUGGAACAAAGAAAGUGCCCACCAGGCCUACCAGAAGAGCCGAGGAUCACAAGAAGAUUAAAUUUUACUCAUUAGAUUGUAGCUAACAAGGCAGGAGAAUGUCCUGAUACAUGUAACAAUGAUUUCCAAUAACCUGCUCUGUGACCUUGGAAAAUUCACUUAACUGCUCUGAACCUCACUUUUAAUAUUUGUCAAAUUAAAUGAUUGAAGGGGAUAAUCUGAAGUUCUUCAGAUAACUAAAAGUCAAUGAUUUUUAAGAGGUAGCCAAAAAAAAAAAAAACCACACACUUCAGUUCAAAAAUGUCCUUCCAGCCAGAAAAUUAAAUUACUAAAGCACUUCUCAGAGCCAUCAGUGGCUCCCAAAA
Long non-coding RNA from Bubalus bubalis (water buffalo), 411 nucleotides. RefSeq lists it as uncharacterized. The record is from RefSeq and is a predicted model, not a curated record. The transcript is spliced from 2 exons. NCBI's taxonomy places the organism in Eukaryota, Metazoa, Chordata, Mammalia, Artiodactyla, Bovidae.